GUGCCAGCAGCCGCGGUAAUACGGAGGGUGCAAGCGUUAUCCGGAAUCACUGGGUUUAAAGGGUGCGUAGGCGGUUUGAUAAGUCAGUUGUGAAAUUCCCCGGCUUAACCGGGCGGACUGCGAUUGAUACUGUUAGACUUGAAUCAGGUUGAGGUAGGCGGAAUGUGACAUGUAGCGGUGAAAUGCUUAGAUAUGUCAUAGAACACCGAUUGCGAAGGCAGCUUGCUAGACCUGGAUUGACGCUGAGGCACGAAAGCGUGGGGAGCAAACAGGAUUAGAAACCCUCGUAGUCC
RNAcentral lists this ribosomal RNA (293 nucleotides) under uncultured bacterium. RNAcentral's name for it is "partial 16S ribosomal RNA". It matches the Rfam family "Bacterial small subunit ribosomal RNA", at positions 505 to 796 of the family's 1533-position model. The record is from RNAcentral.